GCACCUGUAGCCAAGAGGUUAAGGCGAGUGACUGCAACUCACUUAUCAUAAGUUCAAAUCUUAUUGGGUGCUCCA
This 75-nucleotide transfer RNA is filed under the name Caudoviricetes sp. RNAcentral's name for it is "tRNA-Cys". It matches the Rfam family "tRNA". From Rfam's summary of the family: Transfer RNA (tRNA) molecules are approximately 80 nucleotides in length. The record is from RNAcentral. Lineage: Duplodnaviria; Heunggongvirae; Uroviricota; Caudoviricetes.